UGGUAUUGCUAGCCUUUUAGCAAUUUCUGUUUUGGUUAGAGUUUUGGUGAAAAUGGUAUUGGCAGCCAUUGAAGCUACUUUGCUGUUGCCGAUGAGAUGUAGCAAAAGGGAACAAACGCAACAAUUAAAUAAAACAGAGCCUAGGGAGAGCAAGCCACAGUCAAAGGCACCAUUGAAUUUUAUUGGUGAGGAUUCAUUAUCUGUCGAAAGAUUUCUUAGGCGAAAGGUGCAUUUGCUUUCAUCUUUUAAUUAUAAUAAAGUAGGUGUCUACACUGCUUGAAAUGGAGAAAAUGGUUCGGAGAAAAUGUCUACACAGUCAUCAAGUUAUUAAAAAAAUAGGGGAACCGAGAAAUGUGAAUGGCGUGGCGGUCCACGUAGGACAUGACAUAACCUUCGACGCAAUCAAGCAGCUUCAUGGUGUUUAUCUGUGAGCCCUUUCAUUUUUUCCCGAAAAUAAACCCUUUUAUUUGAUGAGUUCGAUAUUUAUUUACAAAAUAUUUUGAAAAGUAUUUCUUUUUA
RNAcentral lists this unclassified non-coding RNA (519 nucleotides) under Hevea brasiliensis (rubber tree). The record is from RNAcentral. Lineage: Eukaryota; Viridiplantae; Streptophyta; Magnoliopsida; Malpighiales; Euphorbiaceae.